GAUGAACGCUAGCUACAGGCUUAACACAUGCAAGUCGAGGGGAAACGGCAUCGAAAGCUUGCUUUUGAUGGGCGUCGACCGGCGCACGGGUGAGUAACGCGUAUCCAACCUGCCCAUCACUUGGGAAUAACCUUGCGAAAGUAAGACUAAUGCCCAAUGACAUCCCACGAAGGCAUCCGAAUGGGAUUAAAGAUUUAUCGGUGAUGGAUGGGGAUGCGUCUGAUUAGCUUGUUGGCGGGGUGACGGCCCACCAAGGCAACGAUCAGUAGGGGUUCUGAGAGGAAGGGCCCGCACAUUGGAACUGAGACACGGGCCAAACUCCUACGGGAGGCAGCAGUGAGGAAUAUUGGUCAAUGGGCGAGAGCCUGAACCAGCCAAGUAGCGUGCAGGAUGACGGCCCUAUGGGUUGUAAACUGCUUUUAUAAGGGAAUAAAGUGGGUCACGUGUGACUUUUUGCAUGUACCUUAUGAAUAAGGACCGGCUAAUUCCGUG
This 492-nucleotide ribosomal RNA is filed under the name uncultured bacterium. RNAcentral describes it as "partial 16S ribosomal RNA". It matches the Rfam family "Bacterial small subunit ribosomal RNA", at positions 28 to 507 of the family's 1533-position model. The record is from RNAcentral.